CCAGAGCAAUUUAGUUGAACAGCCCUGUAUUAACGUCUUAAAACAAACUGCUUUAAAGCCAGCAUUGACCUUACACUAAAUCUCCUAUAAUGUAUUUUGAUUAUUCUGUGAAUUCCCCGUCGGAAUUGAAGACAACUCAGCUUGGAGGAAGGCUGCUCCAUACUUGGGACCUGGACCAAGAGGAGACAGUAUUCCAGAAGGUGACCCAGUUGGAAAGUGGCAGUUUGGACCAGGGAUUGAAGGCAGAGCAGAUUUGAUCAAGAAAAAUGACCUGUGGCUGCAGACAGACUCAGUAUGUUACUGGAUGUGGAGGAUGUCAGGCCAUAAUUCCAUCUGGACCAAACCAAAAAACUACAAAUGUUUGUGUUCAUUUGAUGUAGUUAAUAAUAAAGUUUGUGCAUGUGUUGUUUAAAAA
This is a long non-coding RNA of Austrofundulus limnaeus, 415 nucleotides long. RefSeq lists it as uncharacterized. The record is from RefSeq and is a predicted model, not a curated record. NCBI's taxonomy places the organism in Eukaryota, Metazoa, Chordata, Actinopteri, Cyprinodontiformes, Rivulidae. The transcript is spliced from 3 exons.